UACGUAGGGGGCAAGCGUUGUCCGGAAUCAUUGGGCGUAAAGCGCGUGUAGGCGGUCCGGUAAGUCGGCUGUGAAAGUCCAGGGCUCAACCCUGGGAUGCCGGUCGAUACUGCCGGACUAGAGUUCGGAAGAGGCGAGUGGAAUUCCCGGUGUAGCGGUGAAAUGCGCAGAUAUCGGGAGGAACACCAAUGGCGAAGGCAGCUCGCUGGGACGUUACUGACGCUGAGACGCGAAAGCCAGGGGAGCGAACGGG
Molecule: ribosomal RNA, 253 nt
Filed under: uncultured bacterium
Lineage: Bacteria
Description: partial 16S ribosomal RNA
Rfam family: Bacterial small subunit ribosomal RNA
Source: RNAcentral